RNAcentral lists this long non-coding RNA (500 nucleotides) under Prunus persica (peach). RNAcentral describes it as "long non-coding RNA (PPER_LNC002520)". Lineage: Eukaryota; Viridiplantae; Streptophyta; Magnoliopsida; Rosales; Rosaceae. The record is from RNAcentral.
CAAAUGUUUCCUCUCGUGCCUUGUUCACUUCAUCUCUUUUCAAGUCUCUCUCAAUUCUUAGUGAGGUGUUCUUAGCUAUUUGCUCCAAUAAUUGUAUACAUUCAUUGUUCGAAGUGCCCCCUUUCUUGGCCUUUGCCGCCUUUCUCCCAAUCGGUCUCGGCGGACGUGGGAGUGGUGACUCCGUUUUCAUUGGGGAGUCCAAUGGCGAAUCGGUUGAUGGUGAAUCGUGGAGUGACGUCUCAUUCAACACAACUGAAGGACCGGUGGGAAUAAUUUUGAAUCUCGAACAAUCCUUCACAACUUCCCAACAUUGGGCAUGGCACCGAACCACAUUUGUGCUUGUAUGAUCUAUUAAAAAUAAAUAAUUGAAAGUGCAAGAAAAAAAAAUUAUUAUGCAAGAACAUUAUACUAAUUUGAAAUGCAACAAUAAAAUUAAUUAUGCAAGAAAAUAUAGACAAAUUGGACAUGCAAAAAGAAAAAAAAAAUUAUGCAAGAAAAAG